AAUAAAAUUGCUGGACCACUUUCAGGAAGUUAUGGUUUUGAUACGAACUUCAUUUCUCUUUUUUAUUCUUUUCUGCAAAUGGAGUGGCAUUUUAAUUUUUUCUCCUCCUAAUGCAUUUGAACAAUAUCUUGUUUGCCAAAAUGUUGCCAAGUAAAUGAUUCUCUUGUCCUCAACACUCAGUAGGAAAGUAUGCUAUUGAUGCCAGAACAUGCAUAAAUUAGAUGUUUGAAAAUUAAUUAUGAUGCCAGGAAAAUAAUUUAUUAUUCUCAUUCUCUGAGUCCUUUAGGUUAUAUCAUUAUUCGUCAUUAUAUCUGAUUAUUAAUAGGCUCUUUUGAUCAUUUGACUCUUUGAUAAUUAAAGUUGAGGCAUUUAUGACCUGUAUCCUUGUCCAUUUAUGAUAUUGAGUUUUUUGCUUUCUUAGUCUGCAACACUAAAUACAUUAGAACUACUGUUGAAUAUGCACACUGGGGUUGUGUUUAUGGCUUCUUUGUAGAUAAGGAAGGUGAAGAUAAUUUUCCCUUUUGUCUAGUUGGCAGGUUUGUGGCCAAUUAUUUAGUUUUCUUGGAAACAAAAGGUGCAGGAGCUGGUUUUGAGGCGUGAGAGUAGAUACCA
RNAcentral lists this unclassified non-coding RNA (612 nucleotides) under Hevea brasiliensis (rubber tree). Lineage: Eukaryota; Viridiplantae; Streptophyta; Magnoliopsida; Malpighiales; Euphorbiaceae. The record is from RNAcentral.